This is a long non-coding RNA of Theobroma umbraticum, 641 nucleotides long. RefSeq lists it as uncharacterized. The record is from RefSeq and is a predicted model, not a curated record. Lineage: Eukaryota; Viridiplantae; Streptophyta; Magnoliopsida; Malvales; Malvaceae.
UACAGCCUGGCAGAAUUUGCCACUCUUAUCACUCAGCCAACGGAGAUAUCUCAUGAUGUGAUAUGAAGAAAGACUGGACGAACCAACUUCAUUUGCUCAGCCAAAGUGGGAAUAGCACAAAACUAGGAUGGAAGGGUAUCUGCUUUUAUAGUUAUCUAUCUCGAUUUCUAUUGGCUCCCUCCUUCAUGUUCCAGUCAUCAUUGGAAUGGUACUUGGUCCAGCUGAUUCCCAUCAAUGCUCUCCCUUCCCCUCAGCCAGUGGAUCAACAGUUAGGCCCCCCACGGUGGAGACUUAUCACUGCAAAAAGGUUAUGCAGAUUCAUGGUUCGCUGACCCUAAGCAGGAAUAAUUCAGCCGAAACAAUUGACUGCCCCCGAUCUCUCGCUAGAUAGCUUGAGAAUCCAACGGACAGAUCUUGCAACCUGAGACCAUGAUUUAAAGACAACCCACAUUGGCAAAGAGCUCCCAGAUGAAAGGAGGGGCAGCAGAGAAUAUAUUAUUUAAGUCCUUAAAAGCUAUUGAUAGAGGGAAAAUGCAAAAAUGGUAUCAGCCGAGGUCACUUUAUUGUGGAAAUGACAUGGAUGAUAAGGAUUCCAAAACAUCGGUAGACUGAUAUAUCACAUUUUAGCAAUAUGUGUUUAA